GACGAACGCUGGCGGCGUGCUUAACACAUGCAAGUCGAACGGAAAGGCCCUGCUUUUGUGGGGUGCUCGAGUGGCGAACGGGUGAGUAACACGUGAGUAACCUGCCCUUGACUUUGGGAUAACUUCAGGAAACUGGGGCUAAUACCGGAUAGGAGCUCCUGCUGCAUGGUGGGGGUUGGAAAGUUUCGGCGGUUGGGGAUGGACUCGCGGCUUAUCAGCUUGUUGGUGGGGUAGUGGCUUACCAAGGCUUUGACGGGUAGCCGGCCUGAGAGGGUGACCGGCGACACUGGGACUGAGAUACGGCCCAGACUCCUACGGGAGGCAGCAGUGGGGAAUAUUGCACAAUGGGCGGAAGCCUGAUGCAGCAACGCCGCGUGCGGGAUGACGGCCUUCGGGUUGUAAACCGCUUUCGCCUGUGACGAAGCGUGAGUGACGGUAAUGGGUAAAGAAGCACCGGCUAACUACGUG
Molecule: ribosomal RNA, 468 nt
Filed under: uncultured bacterium
Lineage: Bacteria
Description: partial 16S ribosomal RNA
Rfam family: Bacterial small subunit ribosomal RNA
Source: RNAcentral